Brachypodium distachyon (stiff brome) is the source of this 5429-nucleotide long non-coding RNA. RefSeq lists it as uncharacterized. NCBI's taxonomy places the organism in Eukaryota, Viridiplantae, Streptophyta, Magnoliopsida, Poales, Poaceae. The record is from RefSeq and is a predicted model, not a curated record. The transcript is spliced from 3 exons.
CGUCCCAACGCUGGCAUAAACCCUGGCCGCCGCCGCGACACAAGCCCGUCCGCCGCCGCCCUGUUGCGUGCUGUCUGCCGCUGUACGUCCCGACAAAGAAGUCGCCGCCGCCGCCGCGACACAAGCCCGUCCGCCGCCGCCCUGUUGCGUGCGCCCCGAGCCGUCUGCACCGGCGACGUCCGCCGCUGGAAUCGGCUGGAUACCUCGACCCCUGAUCCCCAGUUAAAAACACCGCGAGCCGUCCGCCGCCACUGCGCUCCGCCUCGAUCCAUCCACCCCAGCGGCGCCACCCAGUUCAAAGCAAAUCGAAUCAGAAGGGGUUUAGUUUUGAGUUAAAGGAUUACGCAUGUAUUAUGCUUAAUCACUCUGUCUUUGUUCAGGUUUUGGUGUCAGGAUCUGCUAUUGGCUAGAAGGGAUUGUUUCCAUCGAGUCCUCGACACUCAGGUUCAAACUUUCCACCUCCCUUAUUCCUGGUUAAUUUCUCUAUUCCUCUUCGUUUUGGAAUUUUAUUACCAUACCAUGAAAUGCUCAUUUUCUCGGACCCAUUUUCUCAUACUGUUGGUCUUUGAUUGUUUUUUUUCCUUGCUUGCAUAGUAGUAUGAACUCGGAACAGUUGAAACUCUGUUCUAUUUAAUCCCGUUCAGUGUUCUUCGUCGGUGACAACAGGUUGAUGCUAAGUUACCUGUUUUCUUGUCCUUUGUGGAUUACUUGAAAUACAACAAUUGAUAAUUUUGUAGGCACAAGACAGGACUAUAGCUGGCCGGUGAUACUCCUUUUAUGCUUCUAUUUUGGGCAUUGUCAAAAGGAGGAUCAUGGAUUAGCUGGUCGACAAAGAUGACAAGAUUUAUUUUUUCAGAGCAGCCGCUGGUUUAAUGGCUUUCCUAUUCUUUUUGUGGUGCGGUAUAUUUGCAGCUUGAGUGAGCAUGUCAUUCUCCAUUCUAGAAGCGGCAGGGAGUGAAAAACAAAUAAGACAGAAAUAGCACGUGUGCAUUUGAUGAUGAUUAUGCAAUGGUUUACUUCAGUUAGAUAAACCUCUCACAAUCUUGGUGAAGGCACUAAAGAAUGUUUCCUUAGACAGGUAAAAAUGCCUAUAUAGGUCUUUACAUGGUUAUUUGUGCACGUCAUGCUCAGACUUCGCUUCAUUUUGUUAGGUUGAUUUUUGCAUAACAUAAUAUGGGGUCGAGGGCAUAGUCGAGGGUCUUCUUCUGGUACCUUCAAUAAAGACGGGUGGGAAAUUCUAUAAACGCUCAAUUCUUCAGGAAUUAACAUGAGUUUUCUGGACAUUAAAUCUGCCGGAGAGAAAAUGUAACUGGGUGUUGAUUUAUGUUUUUAAGGUCUGAACAUUUCCAUUGUGGAACGACAUGUAAAAAGAGUAAACAAGUAAUAAAACAUCUUGUCUUCGUUCAACCUCUAUCUACUGGUGAAAGCACCAUGCAGAUUGUGCAAGAAUGAACAUGUGUAUAACUUCACCUAUUUUGGGAAAACUUUCCUGAUUCUUCUGUUGCAAUCUUUCAAUAUUUUUUUGGCUUGCCAUCAGUUAUAGUGUUUGAUAAUACCUUUCUGUAAUUCUUCUCUAACUGAAUUAUGCUUUGACAAAUAUAUGAGUUAUAGUGCUUGCGCCAUUUGGAAUUCUCAAGGGGAAUGAUGCUUUCAGAGCUUUGUGAGAGCACUCUCAUUGUACUUUCUUGCUCAUCAUGUAAGAAUUCGACAUUAAUUUGAACACAAAGCGCAUGAUCACUGUCUAAUUGCGGUGAAUAUUCUUGUAUUUUCUGUGAUUAGUUAUGACAUAUGACGGACAAUAAUCAGAUACACUUUUCACGUGUUGUACCACGAAAUCUGCAAGACUGACAGUUGCUUUGGUGCCUUGCCAAAUCAGUUAACCAAUGUAUUGAUAUUACUUGUGCAAGAGUCUUAUUGGAGAUUAAAAGAAGUUGAUCUUCGGGAAGGAAAACCGCGACCCUCUGUGAAAAAUCUCAAGUUAAAUAUGGAGAUCACGAACAUACAAAGUUCCAUAGUUUACAUCCAUAAGACCUCGACUACGCCACCUAUUAUCUUCAGCAAGCUGAAGAAUGAAGCUCGCUAUUGGGCGCUCGUGGGUGAUAAGCUUCUGAGGAGUAUUAUGCCGGGAUAGUAGGCCUUUGUUAUUGUCUUUUUCUUUUCCUUUUCCUUUUCAACCUUGUUUGAACUCCUUAUUUAAUGAGAUGAGGCAAAGCCUUUGCUUCCGUUUUUAAAAAAUAAAUAGUUUACACGGUGGAAAGUUCAAGUGCAAAAAAUGUCUCUGCUGAACAAGGUAGUUAUGCUCUGUCUAUUAUAGAAUAGUGCUUGGAAAAAUAUAUGUCCGGUGCGCCAAGGACAAGACUUCCGUUGAAUUAACACUGAGUUAUAGUUAGACGAAUUCUUCUUGUUUGUGACUUGGCUAGACUUUCACUGAAUUUGCACUUAAUUAAAGUUCAGCAAUUAAUAAUUCUUAGGGAACAAUAUCUUCUUGUCGCUUGCAAUUAUCCACGUUUCUGAUUCAACUAGACCGAAUUAAACGCCUUAGAAAAAGAUUAGUUCGACAUGAACUUCGAAAUCUUAGCCAUGUUCCUUUCUUGCAUUGUUCCCGUUUUUCCUUUUCGGUCCCCUCGGGGAUUGCUUGUUUGUACAUUCUCAUUCUCUUGAAUGACGGAAUCGACCGUCUUUUCCUCGAAAAAAAAAUCUUAGCUGUGUAAAGUGUAAACUCCUUGUUGAUCUUGAUUCUGAUUGAAAGCCCGUGAUAUUAGAUUAUAAUACUUUGACGGACAGAUGAUGGCGUUGCAUUUUUAAUUGUUUUUAAUUUAUUUUGUACUAUUAAAUGUUUUUGUUUUACUCCAGAAGGCAUGAAAUCAAUACUUUUGAUUAGACGAGUUGCACCAUUAGGCAUUCGCACUAAGAAUGAUAUUUUCGGUUCUUUGUGGCAGCGCUCUUAUUGUACUUUCUUGCUUAUGAGUUCAGAAUUCGAACUCAGACGGCAUGAUCGCGUUCCCAUUGCGGUGAAUAUCCUUGCAUUUUCUGUGAUAGUUAGGACAUGACGUACAAUAAUCAGAUAUUAUUAUUGGAUUAUUUACAUUUUAGUGCUCUUUUCACGUCUUGCACCACAAAAUCUGCAACACUGAAGACAGUAGCUUUGGUGCAUUGCCAAAUCAGUUGAUCACUGAAUUGAUAUUACGUGUGCAGAGUCUUAUUUGGAGAUUAAAAGAAGUGGCUCUUCAGGAAGGAAAACCAUGUCCCUUGAUCUCUGUUAGACAUCUCAAGUUAAAUUUGGAGAUCAUGAACAUAUGAAGUCCCAUAGUUUACAUGCAUGCUGGAAAGUUUAAUCCAAAAAAUGUCUCUGCCGAACAAGGUAGUUAUGCUUUGUCUAUUAUAUAAUAAUGCUUCGAAAAAUAAAUGUCCAGUAUGCCAAGGGCAGCACUUUCGUUGAAUUAAUUCUGAGUUAUAUAGUUAAACGAAUCGGAUUGAAGCAUAUUGUUUCUUACGUUUGUGUUUAUAUUAGAUUUUUGUAAGAUCUAUGUAAAUAUAUUAGUGCCAUUUUCCAUAUAGGUUCUAUUUUAGACUACACUUAAUUCGAAUUUACAUUGAAAGUUUAAUUAUUUAUCGAUAUCUUAACAGUGGGCAGAUAUGCAUGUCUAUGAGUUUGUACAUAGUAUUCAUUGAAUAGAAAAAUUAAUAGACACCAAGUUUGGUUUCAAUAUUUAUAGUGCAUGCUUCUCUAUAUAUGAUUAUAUUACUAAAUCCACACUAACAUCAGAGAAAAUUAAUACAUUCCACAUAAUUUUUGUGAAUGUAACAUGCCUGCUAAUUCACCACAAGAAAUCCGUCGGUCCAUGACGGUUCUCUCUCGACGGUCUCAAGAUCAUCACUGACGGUAUGAAUCUGAAAACUAGAGGUUGAGUAUUUUCUGACUCACCCAUAAUUUGUCCAGUAUAUCUUCACAAGGGAUAUGGUAUAUCGUGCCCAUGUUUGGCAAAUUAAAGACUCCUGUAUUCAAUGAGUGGGUUUCGUUUAUUGAUAUAGAUGCCCUGGCUUCAGUACUCCAACACUCACCAAUUUUGAAAUGCUCACCCUUCAGCUUCAUCAGUGAGGACCUCGUAACCGCGAUAGGAGCUGAAGAAAACUAUGAUCCAAGAGAACAGCCAUUUGCAUGCACACACCUUGUGGUAGUCAACAUUGAAUGUCAAUAGGUCGAUGAGAAGGUUUGCAAAAUUUUGAAGUUCUUCAGUACAUGUGGCAUACUUGCUGAGAACAUUAGCAUCAAGAAGACCAUAGGAUUGUGGUCAGAUUUUAAGCUAACUGUUCGUCACUUCAUGCUUCAUGUCUUGUGCAAUGCAAUUUCUGAGUUGUUUUCUUUCUGAAACAAAGAACUUCUAACUUGUACAUUCUCAGAUGUCAACAUCAACUAGGGUGUAUGACACACACCCUUUACCAAUCCAUACAUAUUGGACGUCCAUUAUCAUUUAAUAGAGAUGGAUUGCAACCUGAUGGAGUUCUUCUAGUUAAUCUGUAGUUGCUGGUGACACUAGAAGUCUACAACAGCUGGCGUAAAUUGUCAUUGACUCACGGUGCCUAUAAAGCUGUAGUCAUCCAAGCAAAACCAUCUAAUUGUUUUUUUCUCCUGUUUCUUUUAUUCGGAAUCUCCAAGUAUCGUGCUAUUUUUCUGUUGUAGUAAUUUGAACUUCAGACCCUAGUGAGAGAUUACUAAAAUAUAUCACUUCUCAUCAAUCCAGGAAGGAUAUAAUGGUCCUGCACUUCUUUCUAGAUAAUGGUGCCUCAUUAUUUUGCUCUUCUCAGCAGGGUUUGAUAGCCAUCCUAGCAUGUCCCCUACUGACUAAAGCCUGAAAGACACUUGAUGCUUGGCUAUUGACAUGCAAUCAGAUUUUUUGGCUUAUUCCGGGUUAUGAAGAAAUUUUUGUCAAGAUGCAUGUUAAAUACCAAUAUUUCAUAAUGAAUCAGAGAUGUUUAAAGGCUUCAAUUUAGGGAGGCUCCCGGAGCAGCUGCUUCCAUCUACUCCAGCGCCUGACUCACACCUUCAACCACUGAUGGCGACUAAGAUGUGUGCCUGGCCAUGGUGUUGUUUCUAUCUCUAAUAUUUAUCUCUGGAGUCGUGGCAUUUAUUUCUCUGCUUAGUUCGCAAACUUGCCUUCCUUAGUUUUUCGAUAAAACUUGGCAAAACUGUUUCCCCUUGCCAGACUAACUGCCAGGAUGCUUUUACCGGUCUGAACACUGCCAUGUUUCCUUCAAAAUCUAUGUUCUAAGAGAGCAUGAGUUCAAUGAUUUAUACUGCCACUUGAGGAGAUUAUCUAAAAAAUCUUUGACUUAGAUGAUAGAUGUGUCUAAAUUUGCAAUUUUCCUGCUUGCUCAAGUUGUAUCAAAAGACUACUUGCAUUUCUUUUAAGGUUAAAAAAUUCUUUACA